Cavia porcellus (domestic guinea pig) is the source of this 107-nucleotide unclassified non-coding RNA. It matches the Rfam family "Y RNA". From Rfam's summary of the family: Y RNAs are components of the Ro ribonucleoprotein particle (Ro RNP), in association with Ro60 and La proteins. The Y RNAs and Ro60 and La proteins are well conserved, but the function of the Ro RNP is not known. In humans the RNA component can be one of four small RNAs -- hY1, hY3, hY4 and hY5. Lineage: Eukaryota; Metazoa; Chordata; Mammalia; Rodentia; Caviidae. The record is from Ensembl.
GGCUGGUCCGAAGGUAGUGAGUUAUCUUGAUUGUUCACAGUCAGUACAGAUUGAACUCCUUGUUCUACUCUUUCCCCCUUCUCACUACUGCACUUGACUAGUCUUUA